RNAcentral lists this ribosomal RNA (254 nucleotides) under uncultured bacterium. RNAcentral describes it as "partial 16S ribosomal RNA". It matches the Rfam family "Bacterial small subunit ribosomal RNA", at positions 524 to 776 of the family's 1533-position model. The record is from RNAcentral.
UACGAAGGGGGCGAGCGUUGCUCGGAAUGACUGGGCGUAAAGGGUGCGUAGGCGGCUGUUACCGUCAGAUGUGAAAUCCCCGGGCUCAACCUGGGCACUGCAGUUGAAACUGGCAAGCUAGAGUAGGGUAGAGGGGUGUGGAAUUCCAGGUGUAGCGGUGAAAUGCGUAGAGUAUCAGGAGGAACACCGGUGGCGAAGGCGGGACUCUGGGCCGAUACUGACGCUGAGGAGCGAAAGCGUGGGGAGCAAACAGG